CGGCAGGAGGCGAUGAAGGACGUGCUAAUCUGCGAUAAGCGUCGGUAAGGUGAUAUGAACCGUUAUAACCGGCGAUUUCCGAAUGGGGAAACCCAGUGUGAUUCGUCACACUAUCAUUAACUGAAUCCAUAGGUUAAUGAGGCGAACCGGGGGAACUGAAACAUCUAAGUACCCCGAGGAAAGAAAUCAACCGAGAUUCCCCAGUAGCGGCGAGCGAACGGGAGCAGCCCAGAGCCUGAAUCAGUGUGUGUGUUAGUGGAAGCGUCUGGAAAGGCGCGCGAUACAGGGUGACAGCCCCGUACACAAAAAUGCACAUACUGUGAGCUCGAUGAGUAGGGCGGGACACGUGGUAUCCUGUCUGAAUAUGGGGGGACCAUCCUCCAAGGCUAAAUACUCCUGACUGACCGAUAGUGAACCAGUACCGUGAGGGAAAGGCGAAAAGAACCCCGGCGAGGGGAGUGAAAAAGAACCUGAAACCGUGUACGUACAAGCAGUGGGAGCCUCUUAAUGGGGUGACUGCGUACCUUUUGUAUAAUGGGUCAGCGACUUAUAUUCUGUAGCAAGGUUAACCGAAUAGGGGAGCCGAAGGGAAACCGAGUCUUAACUGGGCGUUAAGUUGCAGGGUAUAGACCCGAAACCCGGUGAUCUAGCCAUGGGCAGGUUGAAGGUUGGGUAACACUAACUGGAGGACCGAACCGACUAAUGUUGAAAAAUUAGCGGAUGACUUGUGGCUGGGGGUGAAAGGCCAAUCAAACCGGGAGAUAGCUGGUUCUCCCCGAAAGCUAUUUAGGUAGCGCCUCGUGAAUUCAUCUCCGGGGGUAGAGCACUGUUUCGGCAAGGGGGUCAUCCCGACUUACCAACCCGAUGCAAACUGCGAAUACCGGAGAAUGUUAUCACGGGAGACACACGGCGGGUGCUAACGUCCGUCGUGAAGAGGGAAACAACCCAGACCGCCAGCUAAGGUCCCAAAGUCAUGGUUAAGUGGGAAACGAUGUGGGAAGGCCCAGACAGCCAGGAUGUUGGCUUAGAAGCAGCCAUCAUUUAAAGAAAGCGUAAUAGCUCACUGGUCGAGUCGGCCUGCGCGGAAGAUGUAACGGGGCUAAACCAUGCACCGAAGCUGCGGCAGCGACGCUUAUGCGUUGUUGGGUAGGGGAGCGUUCUGUAAGCCUGCGAAGGUGUGCUGUGAGGCAUGCUGGAGGUAUCAGAAGUGCGAAUGCUGACAUAAGUAACGAUAAAGCGGGUGAAAAGCCCGCUCGCCGGAAGACCAAGGGUUCCUGUCCAACGUUAAUCGGGGCAGGGUGAGUCGACCCCUAAGGCGAGGCCGAAAGGCGUAGUCGAUGGGAAACAGGUUAAUAUUCCUGUACUUGGUGUUACUGCGAAGGGGACGGAGAGGCUAUGUUGGCCGGGCGACGGUUGUCCCGGUUUAAGCGUGUAGGCUGGUUUUCCAGGCAAAUCCGGAAAAUCAAGGCUGAGGCGUGAUGACGAGGCACUACGGUGCUGAAGCAACAAAUGCCCUGCUUCCAGGAAAAGCCUCUAAGCAUCAGGUAACAUCAAAUCGUACCCCAAACCGACACAGGUGGUCAGGUAGAGAAUACCAAGGCGCUUGAGAGAACUCGGGUGAAGGAACUAGGCAAAAUGGUGCCGUAACUUCGGGAGAAGGCACGCUGAUAUGUAGGUGAAGUCCCUUGCGGAUGGAGCUGAAAUCAGUCGAAGAUACCAGCUGGCUGCAACUGUUUAUUAAAAACACAGCACUGUGCAAACACGAAAGUGGACGUAUACGGUGUGACGCCUGCCCGGUGCCGGAAGGUUAAUUGAUGGGGUUAGCGGUAACGCGAAGCUCUUGAUCGAAGCCCCGGUAAACGGCGGCCGUAACUAUAACGGUCCUAAGGUAGCGAAAUUCCUUGUCGGGUAAGUUCCGACCUGCACGAAUGGCGUAAUGAUGGCGGGCUGUCUCCACCCGAGACUCAGUGAAAUUGAACUCGCUGUGAAGAUGCAGUGUACCCGCGGCAAGACGGAAAGACCCCGUGAACCUUUACUAUAGCUUGACACUGAACAUUGAGCCUUGAUGUGUAGGAUAGGUGGGAGGCUUUGAAGUGUGGACGCCAGUCUGCAUGGAGCCGACCUUGAAAUACCACCCUUUAAUGUUUGAUGUUCUAACGUUGGCCCCUAAUCGGGGUUGCGGACAGUGUCUGGUGGGUAGUUUGACUGGGGCGGUCUCCUCCUAAGAGUAACGGAGGAGCACGAAGGUUGGCUAAUCUGGUCGGACAUCAGGAGGUUAGUGCAAUGGCAUAAGCCAGCUUGACUGCGAGCGUGACGGCGCGAGCAGGUGCGAAAGCAGGUCAUAGUGAUCCGGUGGUUCUGAAUGGAAGGGCCAUCGCUCAACGGAUAAAAGGUACUCCGGGGAUAACAGGCUGAUACCGCCCAAGAGUUCAUAUCGACGGCGGUGUUUGGCACCUCGAUGUCGGCUCAUCACAUCCUGGGGCUGAAGUAGGUCCCAAGGGUAUGGCUGUUCGCCAUUUAAAGUGGUACGCGAGCUGGGUUUAGAACGUCGUGAGACAGUUCGGUCCCUAUCUGCCGUGGGCGCUGGAGAACUGAGGGGCUGCUCCUAGUACGAGAGGACCGGAGUGGACGCAUCACUGGUGUUCGGGUUGUCAUGCCAAUGGCACUGCCCGGUAGCUAAAUGCGGAAGAGAUAAGUGCUGAAAGCAUCUAAGCACGAAACUUGCCCGAGAUGAGUUCUCCUGACUCCUGAGAGUCCUGAAGGAACGUUGAAGACGACGACGUUGAUAGGCCGGGUGUGUAAGCGCAGCGAUGCGUUGAGCUAACCGGUACUAAUGAACCGUGAGGCUUAACCU
Molecule: ribosomal RNA, 2854 nt
Filed under: Escherichia coli
Lineage: Bacteria; Pseudomonadati; Pseudomonadota; Gammaproteobacteria; Enterobacterales; Enterobacteriaceae
Description: 23S ribosomal RNA
Rfam family: Bacterial large subunit ribosomal RNA
Source: RNAcentral